Molecule: transfer RNA, 932 nt
Filed under: uncultured cyanobacterium
Lineage: Bacteria; Bacillati; Cyanobacteriota
Description: partial contains 16S ribosomal RNA, 16S-23S ribosomal RNA intergenic spacer, and 23S ribosomal RNA
Rfam family: tRNA (bases 317-389)
Source: RNAcentral
UGGAUCACCUCCUAACAGGGAGACAAUACCUGAUCGUGAUGUCUGAGUACUUUAUUCCCAGGCCAUGAUCCUGUCAUCUCGAAGGUCGAUCGGUGCCUCAACUUGAGGGUAAGAGAAGGGAUGAGCAAUCAUCUUUGAGACUUGCCAAUCAAUUCCAGUUCCUAAACUUUGUCUAGGUCACCCCACAGGGCUGUCAAACAAACGUUUGACGCUACUGAGCGGUAGCAACUCCUGGGCCAUUAGCUCAGGUGGUUAGAGCGCACCCCUGAUAAGGGUGAGGUCCCUGGUUCAAGUCCAGGAUGGCCCAUUCGUGUUUGGGGGUUUAGCUCAGUUGGUAGAGCGCCUGCUUUGCAAGCAGGAUGUCAGCGGUUCGAGUCCGCUAACCUCCAUCCAAUGCUGUUGCUCUUCCCUCGGACCAUGCAUGCUCAUGAGAGUGUGUGAGGUAAGGAGUUUUGCUGUUGUGUUGAUCUAGAUCGUUGUUCGCUGAAGAUUUCAGCUUCUUUUCAUUCUUUCCUGGUUCAAGGAUAAGUUGAAAAGACGCUGAAUUCAAGGGUGCCCUGGCAACAGGGCCAUUUGAAUGUCAGCAGAACCUUGACAACUGCAUAGUUGAAGUCUGGAAAUAAAGCAUCUCAUGGAUGCUUGAUUCGGGCCUGAAGUCAAGUCCAGCAAUGGAUUUGAUGAAGGAUGGGAAUCAAGAAAAUUCUAUUGAGUUUUUAGAGCCGAGAGCUUCCAGUUUUCUUCUGAGCCCGCCGAGGGUUUGGGAGUUUGAUCCUGGCAUUCAAACCGCAAGCGAGAGUCUGAGCAAUCAGGGUUGAAGGUUGUAGGUGAAUCUAGAGAGAAUAGGCCUCAACAGCCUGAAGGACUGGGAGUUGAAAUUGGUCAAGCUACAAAGGGCUCACGGUGGAUACCUUGGCACACAGAGGCGAUGAAGG